GCUGAGUGUGGUGGUGCAUGCCUGUAGUCCCAGCUACUGGGGAAGCUGAGGCAAGAGGAUUGUUUGAGCCCAUGAGUUCUGGGUUAUAGUGUGCUACGCUGUUCUGGUGUCUGCAUUAAGUUCGGCAUCAAUAUGGUGUCCUCCUGGGAGCAGGGGUCCACCUGUUUGUCUAAGGAAGGUGAACUGACCCAGGUUGGAAGAAGGGCAGGUCAAAACUGCUGUGCUGAUCAACAAUGGGAUUGCACCUGCGAGUAGCCACUGCACUCCCGUGUGGUUGACAUGGUGAAGCCCUGUCUCUA
Unclassified non-coding RNA from Papio anubis (olive baboon), 299 nucleotides. It matches the Rfam family "Metazoan signal recognition particle RNA". From Rfam's summary of the family: The signal recognition particle (SRP) is a universally conserved ribonucleoprotein. It is involved in the co-translational targeting of proteins to membranes. NCBI's taxonomy places the organism in Eukaryota, Metazoa, Chordata, Mammalia, Primates, Cercopithecidae. The record is from Ensembl.